AGUGAACGCUGGCGGUAGGCCUAACACAUGCAAGUCGAACGGCAGCACAGUAAGAGCUUGCUCUUACGGGUGGCGAGUGGCGGACGGGUGAGGAAUACAUCGGAAUCUACUUUUUCGUGGGGGAUAACGUAGGGAAACUUACGCUAAUACCGCAUACGACCUACGGGUGAAAGCAGGGGAUCUUCGGACCUUGCGCGAUUGAAUGAGCCGAUGUCGGAUUAGCUAGUUGGCGGGGUAAAGGCCCACCAAGGCGACGAUCCGUAGCUGGUCUGAGAGGAUGAUCAGCCACACUGGAAGUGAGACACGGUCCAGACUCCUAAGGGAGGGAGCAGUGGGGAAUAUUGGACAAUGGGCGCAAGCCUGAUACAGCCAUACCGCGUGGGUGAAGAAGGCCUUCGGGUUGUAAAGCCCUUUUGUUGGGAAAGAAAAGCAGCAGGUUAAUACCCCGCUGUUCUGACGGUAACCAAAGAAUAAGCACCGGCUAACUUCGUG
This 492-nucleotide ribosomal RNA is filed under the name uncultured bacterium. RNAcentral describes it as "partial 16S ribosomal RNA". It matches the Rfam family "Bacterial small subunit ribosomal RNA", at positions 29 to 507 of the family's 1533-position model. The record is from RNAcentral.